Molecule: non-coding RNA, 857 nt
Filed under: Helicostoa sinensis
Lineage: Eukaryota; Metazoa; Mollusca; Gastropoda; Littorinimorpha; Helicostoidae
Description: 12S ribosomal RNA
Rfam family: Microsporidia small subunit ribosomal RNA (bases 445-853)
Source: RNAcentral
ACAAUGUUUGGUUCUGGCUUAUGUAUAAUAAAGGCAAGAAAAUACACAUGGUAUUUAUAGACAAAAGUGAGUGAAAUUUAAAUUAAAUCUAGAUUCAAUAUUUCACCCUAAUUUAAAUUUCAAGUAUUAUUAUAAAAUAAAUGCUUAGAAAGUCCCACUAACACCAGUGUCAAAGAUUGAAAAAAAGCGAAAGCUUGCUUCAGACAAGCCAAAAAGUUUGGUCAACUUGGUGCCAGCAUCCGCGGUUAGACCAAGAAACUAAAUUAUAUUUUUCGGUAAAAAGAUGGUUAAAUAAACAUAAUAAGUUUUAAAGUUUUUAUACGUAAGUAAAAUUUAAAUAUAAAAGUUAAAACCACAAAAAAAUUAAAAAUUGAAGCCAUAAAAAUCCUGAGGGAAACUGGGAUUAGAUACCCCACUAUUCUUGAAUAUAAACUUAUAUUACCCGGGAACUACAAAUAUUAUUAUUUAAAACCCAAAGAACUUGGCGGUGUUUUAGACUACUUAGGGGAACCUGUUUCAUAAUCGAUAAUCCACGAAAUACCUAACCUUUUUUUGCAAUCAGUAUGUAUACCGUUGUCGUCAGGUAACUUUUAAAAACAAAGAAGUUAGCAAUAAAUAUUUUAACUUUAACGUCAAAUCAAGGUGCAACCAAUAAAAAGGUGAAAAUGGGUUACAAUUAUAAUUCAUAAUAUGAAUUGAGAUUUUAAAACCCUUAUGAAGGAGGACUUAAAAGUAAAAAAAUAAUCAUAAAAAUUUCUUGAAUCCAGCUCUGAAACGUGCACACAUCGCCCGUCGCUCUCGUUGAAAAAUGAGAUAAGUCGUAACACAGUAAGGGUAAUGGAAAUUGCCCUUAGAUG